Molecule: long non-coding RNA, 1934 nt
Organism: Gambusia affinis (western mosquitofish)
Lineage: Eukaryota; Metazoa; Chordata; Actinopteri; Cyprinodontiformes; Poeciliidae
Exons: 3
Source: RefSeq, a predicted model, not a curated record
GCUGUAGAGCAGAGUAACAGCUGUUCAUUUGGAGCCACAUCUGGCAACAGAUCUUCUCAGUCCGCGAACACUCGCAGCACAGAGAAGGUCUCUGGAGAGAGGACGCGUGUUGCAAACCAUAAAACACGGAGAAGGAGUCCCAUGUGUGGCGGCUCAGCGUCCGACCCAACCCGAAGUGACAUUUACUGCACAGGGAAGGCCAUACAUCCGCUGCAUCUUCUCAAAUAUGUCUCCCUUUUCACCUGUUUACCAUCGCAGCAGUCCAGAUGAAAAGUGUAAUUAUGCAAAACAUCCGUUUACACACUCGGCUGGCGCUACAAAGCAUACAGAACACCACGACAGAGAAGAGCUUCACAACAAACUGAUUUUAGCCCAAAGCUGUGCGAGACCUGCUGCCGGGCUUAGGCACAAGAAUCAAUAGUCUGCAGCUGCAAGGAGCGCGCCGCUGCAAAACGUCAAUAAUAUCUGAGGCCAGCGAGGACGGCGCUCAGCGGACGCCAUUUCUGUACACAUCAGAUACAAAAACACAGGCAUCCUGAUAUUGUUUGGCUUAGAUUUUACAUUGUGUCAUGUUUUAUCAGAUUGCUGUUUCUGAAAACUUAAGUUUGAAUCGAAAUGCAUACAUCUUUAUAAUUUUUACUUCAAGAACAACAAGAUACUUUAUCACCAGACUCUUUGCCUAAACCAGCCAAACCAUCAGUUCUGGAGUUUCAGGAAGUUUGGCUGUUUCUUCACGUGGGUCUUCUCCAAAAACAACGUGAAGCAGAUCAUCAGAUUUAAUGACGGGAUUGUUUUGCUUAUCUCAAACAUCAGCAAUGAAUGCAACUUCUUUGUGCAGACUUCUUCAUAACAAUGAAGAAGAAAGCACUUUCUUCCAGCGGCAGCAAUAAACAACCGGAGAGGGAGAGAAAAAUCCAUUACAGGAGAGGAAAUGAUGGCAUUUCUCCAGCAACAGCAGCAGAAACUCAAGGAACUCUGAUAAAGUGGAGAAAAUGGCUCUUUUUAUGAUCCUAACUUUUAAAUUGUUUGAUUCACUUCUUUGAAAAACAAGGUUUCUAAACUAUUGCAUCUCCAAGAAGUGAACGGUUUCAAUAAUUUAGGUGCAAAAGGAUGGAGGUUUGAUUCUGUGCGGAAAGGUAAAGGAGCGUAAAGCUUUUACAAACUGUACAAAAUAAAAGCCAGGUAACUUAAAAAUAGAGUAGAAGAGUCAAAUCAGAAACGUCACAGGUAACCUCAGCUGGACUGGUGAACUGAAAGGCUACUGAUCUACACUUCAUGACAAUUUUCCUUUUAAUCAUUAAACUGUCUGAAUAUGGUUAAAAGAGGCAUGGAGUCAGGACAUAAAACUUUAUAAAAGCUCAGAGUUCAGUCUUCUCUACCAAUACUGCUGACCAUUAAACAUAAUUUCUGUGCCAGUCGUAGUAGAUUGGUCCUUCAAUCUGCAGGACAAGCAUAUUUCUAACAGAGAGACACAAUUCAUACAAGAUUAUACUCAAGUACAGCAGAGCUAGAAAAUAUCUACUUUACCACAAACUCUUUAGAUUUUGUGUGGUAAAAAAAACAACAACCCACAUUUCUUGUCCUUUUUGUUUAUUCAGAACUGAAACUGCUGCAUGGCAAUGAUUAAAUGCAACCAAAAGUAAAAAAAAAAACACUUCAAAAACUAUGAAUCCACAGUGUGACAAGUACUGGAAUAAAUAAACACCAACAAAGAAGAGCAAUUUUUCAAAACAGAGUAAAAACUGUUGUAGAGACACAUUCUGCCACGGUUGAAACCCAGUGAAACUUUUUAUUCUGCAGAAAUCUGGAUCCACAUCUGCAACAUGGCAGGGGAGUUUUCAUGAUGCAACAUUUGAAGGUUGAAUCAGAGGGAGAGGAAUUUAAAAAAUUAGAAAUAAAAAAUAAACUGAACCAAUCAAAUUCUCAUGAUCAAU